RNAcentral lists this ribosomal RNA (497 nucleotides) under uncultured bacterium. RNAcentral's name for it is "partial 16S ribosomal RNA". It matches the Rfam family "Bacterial small subunit ribosomal RNA", at positions 28 to 507 of the family's 1533-position model. The record is from RNAcentral.
GAUGAACGCUGGCGGCGUGCCUAAUACAUGCAAGUCGAGCGAACAGAUAAGGAGCUUGCUCCUUUGACGUUAGCGGCGGACGGGUGAGUAACACGUGGGUAACCUACCUAUAAGACUGGAAUAACUCCGGGAAACCGGGGCUAAUGCCGGAUAACAUUUAGAACCGCAUGGUUCUAAAGUGAAAGAUGGUUGUGCUAUCACUUAUAGAUGGACCCGCGCCGUAUUAGCUAGUUGGUAAGGUAACGGCUUACCAAGGCAACGAUACGUAGCCGACGUGAGAGGGUGAUAGGCGACACUGGAACUGAGCCACGGUCAAGACUACUACGGAAGGCAGCAGUAGGGAAUCUUCCGCAAUGGGCGAAAGCCUGACGGAGCAACGCCGCGUGAGUGAUGAAGGUCUUCGGAUCGCAAAACUCUGUUAUUAGGGAAGAACAAAUGUGUAAGUAACUGUGCACGUCUUGACGGUACCUAAUCAGAAAGCCACGGCUAACUACGUG